RNAcentral lists this ribosomal RNA (497 nucleotides) under uncultured bacterium. RNAcentral's name for it is "partial 16S ribosomal RNA". It matches the Rfam family "Bacterial small subunit ribosomal RNA", at positions 28 to 507 of the family's 1533-position model. The record is from RNAcentral.
GACGAACGCUGGCGGCGUGCCUAAUACAUGCAAGUUGAGCGCUGAAGGUUGGUACUUGUACCAACUGGAUGAGCAGCGAACGGGUGAGUAACGCGUGGGGAAUCUGCCUUUGAGCGGGGGACAACAUUUGGAAACGAAUGCUAAUACCGCAUAAAAACUUUAAACACAAGUUUUAAGUUUGAAAGAUGCAAUUGCAUCACUCAAAGAUGAUCCCGCGUUGUAUUAGCUAGUUGGCGAGGUAAAGGCUCACCAAGGCGAUGAUACAUAGCCGACCUGAGAGGGUGAUCGGCCACAUUGGGACUGAGACACGGCCCAAACUCCUACGGGAGGCAGCAGUAGGGAAUCUUCGGCAAUGGACGAAAGUCUGACCGAGCAACGCCGCGUGAGUGAAGAAGGUUUUCGGAUCGUAAAACUCGGUUGGUAGAGAAGAACGUUGGUGAGAGUGGAAAGCUCAUCAAGUGACGGUAACUACCCAGAAAGGGACGGCUAACUACGUG